UGGGGAAUCUUGCACAAUGGGGGCAACCCUGAUGCAGCGACGCCGCGUGAGCGAUGAAGCCCUUCGGGGCGUAAAGCUCUUUCGACCGGAACGAUAAUGACGGUACCGGGAGAAGAAGCUGCGGCUAACUACGUGCCAGCAGCCGCGGUAAUAUGUAGGCAGCAAGCGUUGUUCGGAGUUACUGGGCGUAAAGAGUGCGUAGGCGGUUUUCUAAGUUCGGUGUGAAAUCUCCCGGCUUAACUGGGAGGGUGCGCCGAAGACUGGGAAGCUGGAGUGUGGGAAAGGCAGGCGGAAUUCCUGGUGUAGCGGUGAAAUGCGUAGAUAUCAGGAGGAACACCGGCGGUGUAGACGGCUUGCUAGACCAUAACUGACGCUGAGGCACGAAAGCGUGGGUAGCAAACA
Molecule: ribosomal RNA, 402 nt
Filed under: uncultured bacterium
Lineage: Bacteria
Description: bacterial SSU rRNA
Rfam family: Bacterial small subunit ribosomal RNA
Source: RNAcentral